Molecule: ribosomal RNA, 438 nt
Filed under: uncultured bacterium
Lineage: Bacteria
Description: partial 16S ribosomal RNA
Rfam family: Bacterial small subunit ribosomal RNA
Source: RNAcentral
CUACGGAGGCACCAGUGGGGAAUUUUGCGCAAUGGGGGAAACCCUGACGCAGCAAUACCGCGUGAGUGAAGAAGGCCUUUGGGUCGUAAAGCUCUUUUCUUGGGGAAGAUAGUGACGGUACCCAAGGAAUAAGCACCGGCUAACUCCGUGCCAGCAGCCGCGGUAAUACGGAGGGUGCAAGCGUUGUUCGGAUUUACUGGGCGUAAAGGGCACGUAGGCGGCACAGCAAGUUAAGGGUGAAAUCCCGGGGCUCAACUCCGGAACUGCUCUUAAAACUGCUGAGCUAGAGAUAGUCAGAGGCGGGUGGAAUUCCGGGUGUAGAGGUGAAAUUCGUAGAUAUCUGGAGGAACACCGGUGGCGAAGGCGGCCCGCUGGGGCUAUUCUGACGCUAAGGUGCGAAAGCGUGGGGAGCAAACGGGAUUAGAUACCCUAGUAGUC